CUUAACACAUGCAAGUCAAACAGAAAGUGGUAUUUCUAAUUGCAGAUAGGUGAGUAACACGUAAGAACUUGCUAUUAGGAGGGAACAAAUGCUAAUACCUCAUAGGUUGAGGAGCAAAAGGAGGAAUUUGUUCAAUGAGGGGUUUGCGACUGAUUAUCUAGUUGAUGAGGUAAUAGCUUACCAAUGCGAUGAUUAAUAGCUGGUCCAAGAGGAUGAUCAAUCACACUGGGAUUGAGACAUGAUCUAGAAUUCUACGAGAGGCAAGAGUAGGGAAUUUUCCACAAUGGGUGAAAGCCACCUUAUUGG
This 306-nucleotide non-coding RNA is filed under the name Gossypium arboreum. Its description in RNAcentral is "Bacterial small subunit ribosomal RNA". It matches the Rfam family "Bacterial small subunit ribosomal RNA", at positions 47 to 389 of the family's 1533-position model. Lineage: Eukaryota; Viridiplantae; Streptophyta; Magnoliopsida; Malvales; Malvaceae. The record is from Rfam by way of RNAcentral.